Molecule: long non-coding RNA, 2399 nt
Filed under: Homo sapiens (human)
Lineage: Eukaryota; Metazoa; Chordata; Mammalia; Primates; Hominidae
Description: HSALNT0034966
Source: RNAcentral
UCUUCAGGCAUCAGAACCAAAUUAGAGUGCUUUAUACGUGCAAGGAACUAAUGCAGAAAGACAUUAUGGAAUCAAGAUUCUUAAGGUCUGAGUACAAGUUCCGCUUCAGGAUGGCGCUGCUGCACAGCAGGGCACCUUGCAGGGCCCCGACCAGUCCACAGGUGAAGAUAUCCUGGCCUAGGAGGCAAGAGCAGAGGCCCCUGAGCGUGCACCCAGGCAGGCCCAGGGGAGGGUGGGGCCUUGGUGCUCUUCCCUCCACAUGAGGGCCACCCAGAGCUGGCUCCAAUCAGACAGGGGCCACAGCCUGCCCAGGCAGCCCUGCUCAGGGGAUGGGAGGCUGCAGGGGACAGCAGGGCCUGAGGGCAGGAACAGAGGACGUUGGGCGACAGGGGCCCAGGGUCUCAGGUCCUGACAACAUGGGGCAGUGAGUAUACCUGUCAGAUAGAGGUUGGGGAUGGGGCUCUGGGCCCUCAAGGAGGCCAUCACACAAGGGUGCAGGCGGCCCAGGUCAUGGUCAGCCCCGUAGCAGGCACCUCGGGGAGCAGCCAGAUAGAACUGGUUGGUGAGUGGGGAUCCUGCAGUCACACUCUCCACCUGAGGGCAGAAAGGGUGGGGCAGGCAUGUGAGAUCCUGGCUCCCCUCCCUCUUCCACUCUUUCCCAUUCACUGACUGCAGGGAUGGGUGCCCUGUCCUUCCCUGGGGCUCAUGUCUUGGGGCCUGAUUCCCCUGUCUCAAGGAAAGGGCAGAAACAGCACCGUGAGGUUCGUCACCACCCCAAAUACUUUACCCCCUACCUUCCCCUCCAGCUGUGGGAACAGUUUCAGGACCACUGACAUAGAGGCUUCCACAAAGGAGUUUUUGAAGGUCUCAUAGUCACUGCCCCGCUUUCCCUUCAGCUCCGCCUGCCACUCCUCAAACCACUCGUAGGCAGUGGGUAUGAGCAUGAUCAUGGUGGACCGGCCUGGGGAUCAGAGCUGAUAUUACUACUGCCCGGCCUCUCCCUCCACCCCCUCACCCGGGACGUGCAGCCCCACCUGGGAAUCGGUCCUCCCAGGUCGGAUCUUUGGCUGAUGGGAAAGCGAAGAAGAGAAGAGGGAUGUGUUCCGCAGCCUCUUCCCUGGGCAUGGAGACGUAGCGCUCCAUCCUGCAUGUGACAAGAGUGUGGUGGGAUCUCCAGGUUUUUGUCCUCAAAACCCCAGAACCACUGCAAGGACUGCUUAUCCCUAGGGACUCCCCACAGGGGUGAAGCUGAGCCACAGCCUUGGCGUGACAAACUUCCAGGAGCAAAUUAGAAAUUGCCUACUUCCUCCCAUUCCAUAACCUCUGCUCAUUCUCUGAGUCAAGCAGGGAGGCACGGGCCACACACAUACACACACACGUGCACCUUACGCCUGGUCCAUGUCCGUGUCAUAGUAAACAUAGUAGUUGGUGGACGGCAGAUGCAGGUCUUCCUUGGUGCCUCGCAGGCAGAUGAAAACAGAGGUCAUGCCUAAGCCGGGCCGCACCGUCCCCAGUUGCUGCUUCACACCUGCCAGGGGGAGUGGUUGGUGCCUGUGUGGACCAUGGCCGGAGACGGCCACUCCUUGCUCCCAGGAGAGCCUUGGGGUGCCAGCUCUGGCACCUGCCUGAGGCAUGCCGGGCCCCUGGCCACUCUGCUUCCUUCAUUUAACUAAAUAUUUUUGAGGCCUUCAGAUCGUGUUCAGGAGGAAAAUUCAUAGACAAGGGAAAAUUGUAACCAGACAGUGAGAGGGGGGCGGGAGGGACAGAUGACUGUAGCAGGGCUGCCUGGCCAGGACAGUGUCAGUUCCCAGAGGUCCUGGGACAGGGGAGAAGGGAGGUCAGGGUCACAGAGAGAAAGGUAGGAAGUAGCAAAGGCAGAGUCUGCCUGUGCACCAAGCCCGACCUCCCUGCUCUGCCCCUGGGCCAUCUCUGCCUCACCCCUUCAGCUCCUGAGAGUCUGAGAGAGGGGAGGCCGAGCAGGCUGCAGGCUCAGCCACGCAGGGUGAAGGAAGGAGAGGCUGGCGCUGGUGAAAUCACCCUAUGCCCUGGAGACAAUCACAACUGCCUUACCACCCAGUCCCCAUGCGGAAAGCCAGGACCUCGCUUUACCCCCCAGCCCGCUCUGCUGUCCCCUUCCCCGGCUCCUCAGGGAGCAGCUCCCGGGCCCACCCUCUGGGGUCAGGGCUCCUUCCCCUGCUCUCUAGCUCCUGCACCAGUCAAGGUUUCCGCCAUACCAUAUCCGGAGCUACUCCAUGCUCUCCAGCUCCCGCCCCAUCCUGAGUCCUUCAUCUGGGCCCCUCUCUCUCACCCCUGCUGGGUUACUGGUCCCCUCUUCCCAGCGGCCUCCCUUCCUCAGAUCCAGUUACAUGAAGGUGGCGGGACCUCUUAGCUGCGUUGGC